AUCUCUCUACGACCUUACACCCGACACCAACGUUAUGGUCACCGACAAUUCUCAACGGAUUCGUCAUCUCGCUCUCUGGACGACAAAGGCAUAUCGUCGGGGGUAUGGUAACUAGCGAGUUGAUUGCUGCGAGAACGGUGUUCGUGAUCGUAGCAUCGUUCAACAACCCAGACCUCUGAGUCAGGUUUUGGUGGUGUCGCAUAUGCAAUGGCCAUAAUCUGUAUCCCACUUGAUGCUGGAUCCGAAGGUUCACAACCAUUAUUUGGCCCUUUUAUUAUAUAUGCAGUGAUUGAAGAGAACUUGCCUUCUUGAGCUUCAGGAUGGAAGGUUUGUAAGUCUUAGAUGUGUUCUUUCGUGUGCCAAAGGUGGAAGGCCUUUGCCUAAACAAGACUUCACUUGUUGCGUUGUCAUAGGAGAUUAAGGUUUUGUUUGUUCUUUCCAGGGUUAUCCUCCCCUCUCUUUUAGAUGUUUUUGGUUAAUCUUUUGGUUUCUGAAUUAUGAUCAUUUAGCUUUGGUUGCUUAAAUGAAUGUUGUAUGUGUCGGCUAAUAUGACAGCCCUUUAGCAUAUCUUAAAAUUCUGGAUUUUUUCCUUGAAAUGAUAAUACUUCCAAGUGAUCAAUAUGUUUGUUUAUGUGAACGUGUAUCUAGUGAAGUUGUGGAUAUAUCAAAUAGCUUCAUGUGUAUAUAUAUUCGUUUAAA
Long non-coding RNA from Vigna unguiculata (cowpea), 699 nucleotides. RefSeq lists it as uncharacterized. NCBI's taxonomy places the organism in Eukaryota, Viridiplantae, Streptophyta, Magnoliopsida, Fabales, Fabaceae. The record is from RefSeq and is a predicted model, not a curated record.